GACGAACGCUGGCGGCGUGCUUAACACAUGCAAGUCGAACGGAAAGGCCCUGCUUUUGUGGGGUGCUCGAGUGGCGGACGGGUGAGUAACACGUGAGUAACCUGCCCUUGACUUUGGGAUAACUUCAGGAAACUGGGGCUAAUACCGGAUAGGAGCUCCUGCUGCAUGGUGGGGGUUGGAAAGUUUCGGCGGUUGGGGAUGGACUCGCGGCUUAUCAGCUUGUUGGUGGGGUAGUGGCUUACCAAGGCUUUGACGGGUAGCCGGCCUGAGAGGGUGACCGGCCACAUUGGGACUGAGAUACGGCCCAGACUCCUACGGGAGGCAGCAGUGGGGAAUAUUGCACAAUGGGCGGAAGCCUGAUGCAGCAAUGCCGCGUGCGGGAUGACGACCUUCGGGUUGUAAACCGCUUUCGCCUGUGACGAAGCGUGAGUGACGGUAAUGGGUAAAGAAGCACCGGCUAACUACGUG
RNAcentral lists this ribosomal RNA (468 nucleotides) under uncultured bacterium. RNAcentral describes it as "partial 16S ribosomal RNA". It matches the Rfam family "Bacterial small subunit ribosomal RNA", at positions 28 to 507 of the family's 1533-position model. The record is from RNAcentral.